CGCUCACGACAAUUGGAAUCCACAGUAAUGACUUCUCGAAAACAGCAGAACCAAAUAUGGAUGAGAAAGUCUUACCAUAAACUGGUGUGGCAGAUUACAUGUAACCAGAACCUGCAAAGGCAUGAAUGGUGAAGUAAAUAGAGACACAGACCAAAUAAUUAUAAGUAUCUUGCUCCAUAGAUACAGGGAAUAGAACCUUGACGGGCUAUUCAAAAACAAGUUAUUUCAUUUAAUAAAAACUAGUCCCAUCAUAACUUCAA
Molecule: unclassified non-coding RNA, 260 nt
Filed under: Hevea brasiliensis (rubber tree)
Lineage: Eukaryota; Viridiplantae; Streptophyta; Magnoliopsida; Malpighiales; Euphorbiaceae
Source: RNAcentral